RNAcentral lists this ribosomal RNA (425 nucleotides) under uncultured bacterium. Its description in RNAcentral is "bacterial SSU rRNA". It matches the Rfam family "Bacterial small subunit ribosomal RNA", at positions 354 to 771 of the family's 1533-position model. The record is from RNAcentral.
GUGGGGAAUAUUGGACAAUGGGCGAAAGCCUGAUCCAGCGACGCCGCGUGUGUGAAGAAGGCCUGCGGGUUGUAAAGCACUUUCGAUGGGAACGAAAUGUGCCGGGCUAAUACCCCGGCAAGCUGACGUUACUCAAUGAAGAAGCACCGGCUAACUACGUGCCAGCAGCCGCGGUAAUACGUAGGGUGCAGGCGUUAAUCGGAAUUACUGGGCGUAAAGCGUGCGCAGGCGGCUCCUUAAGUCAGAUGUGAAAGCCCCGGGCUUAACCUGGGAACUGCGUUUGAAACUGGGGAGCUAGAGUGUGGAAGAGGGGGGUGGAAUUCCAGGUGUAGCAGUGAAAUGCGUAGAGAUCUGGAGGAACACCGAUGGCGAAGGCAGCCCCCUGGGCUAACACUGACGCUGAGGCGCGAAAGCGUGGGGAGCAA